AUGCAGUUCUCCAUGUUCAUCUUCCUCCCGGACGAGCGCCACGGGUUUGCCGCCAUGGUGGACAUGAUCACCGCAGCCCCAGGUUACCUCUACAGCAUCCUGCCCAGGACGACGCCUGAUCUCGUCAUCCUCAAGAUGCCCAAGUUUGAGAUAAGCUUCGACUGGGACCUCGAAAGCGACCUCCGCCGGCUGGGCCUAUCGCUGCCCUUUUCGCUGGAGGCGGCCGACUUGCGUGGCAUGUUCGAUAAGAACGACGGCAGGGGCACGGCGUUCCUGACCAAGGUUGUCCACAGGGGCACGGCAGGGGCAAGGCACGGAGGCAGGCGCGAGCACAGCUAG
RNAcentral lists this ribosomal RNA (339 nucleotides) under Triticum aestivum (bread wheat). Its description in RNAcentral is "partial small subunit ribosomal RNA". The record is from RNAcentral. Lineage: Eukaryota; Viridiplantae; Streptophyta; Magnoliopsida; Poales; Poaceae.